GAAGAAACUUCUUCCAUUCAAAUCCAACCUGAGUCUCCCUAGCUAGGUGAAAAUGGGCUAGUCAUGUCACCCUGUUGCCUCAGUUUCCCCAUCGGUGAAAUGGCAAACCUCUUAGGCAUCUCUGCCAAACAAACCCCAAAGGGGGUCACAGUCAUGGCUGAAAAUGCCAAAUAACAUCUUGUUUGCACACUGUGAGUGGUCUUUUCUUCCCUGCCCCCCACUCCUUAGAGUGAAUCCUCUUGAGGGUUUUCUUUGGGGGUUUUUUGUUUUAACUUUCUGUGUCCCCAAAUGCUUAAGUUUCUGGGCCACAGUAGGCACUUAAUAAAUGCUUGUCUUAUUGAGGUGAGAUCCCUGGCAGGACUUUUUAUCUGUUCAUGAAGCAUCAGGAGGAAGAGGAAGAUAGAGGAGGAGGAGUCACCUGACCUAAGAAGGCCCCUGACUGAAACAGGAACCCCAGAAAACUUGACCCCAUGCAGCGGUCAGUGGCAGAGGCCCAGUGGUCUCCCUCAUUUUCCAGAGGUGCCCAAGGCUACCCAGAGCUAAAGAAGACCAGCUGGUAUUUGAAAGUCCGCUGUAAAAUGGGGACAAGACCCCGACUCCCUCUCGUUCCCGGCCUGUGCCUCUCUGGCUCGCCCUCCUCCUUCUUUUUGCCCAGCAGUCUGUAGUUCUGGGCCUCCCCUCCCACACUCUGGCAGAUGCAAAUCACAUAAAGGAAGAAAGCCCGAAUCUUGCGUUCUGCCUGUCCCCCUUCCUUUUUUCUGCGGUUGCGGAAAUGCAGACUUCUCCCAGCUAGCACGAUUACUCACCGUGGAUGAGGGCAGGAUCCAUGAUUUCUUCAGUGAACAGGAGUGGGGGUAGGGUGGAUGAGAGAGCCUACGGUGGGAUCUUCCCUCCAUCCUUUGCAUCUCUUAAUUUCACGCCUUGUGGCCAGAAUAUUUUUCCCCCUCUGGAGACCUGGAUGAUUGGUCCCUGGAAAGAUGUCCAUUUUGAAGGGGCCAGAGUGUCUCAUGAUCUUCUGGGUUAACCUUCAAAAGCCCAGAAGACCUUCCCGACAUUUGACCACUUUCAAACAUCCAUGCGGCGACUACUACGGGCAGAAUAGAGCACUGAGCUGGCAGUCACAAAAGGAAACAUUCGGUCAGAAGCAUCUUCUUGGAGCACACAGCCCCUAAUGGGAAGAAAAGCAAAAAUAUCGAUCACUUUAAUAUACGUUGAACAUGGAUAAAUUCAGGAGAGAGAAAGAAACCAGUGUGGCCAGAAGUCCAGCAGCUUCCUGAAAGAAAAGCCUUGGCAGAAGGAUGCCCACCAGCCAUUCUCAGAGAAGGCAUGAAUGUAAACUGACUUGAUCUUCCUCCCAGCCUCCCUCCAUGCCCUGGGCUAAGGCUGGGGGAAAGGUGAGGGCUUGUGUUGAUCCCUUGAGGGCAGUCUCUACAUAUCCCUUUUUUGGUUCUUCAAUGUUUUCCUUUUUUGGUCUUUUA
Molecule: long non-coding RNA, 1478 nt
Filed under: Sarcophilus harrisii (Tasmanian devil)
Lineage: Eukaryota; Metazoa; Chordata; Mammalia; Dasyuromorphia; Dasyuridae
Description: lncRNA (ENSSHAG00000030095.1)
Source: RNAcentral